GCAGCUGUGGUUCAGGGGAGAGGCCCAGGAUAGAGCUAUGCAUUUGAGCCCAUGGACCCCAAGAGUGGAUGGACCCCAAGAUCUAGGAGACCAAGCCUAAAGGAGAAAACAACAGUCAGGAACAGCACUGGAAGCCAACAGGCCAGAUGGAGUUAGUCCUGAAGUCAAACUUUCAGAAAGAAAAAUGUCUUAGUCUUCAAGUCUAUGCAUCCUGGGCUCUGUCCCUAAGAGGAAGCCAGACCUUUCUGCUCACCAACUCGUCCCCCUGCACCUUCCUGAUUGAAGCCACAUUCCACGUCAUGCCUGUACAUCUUCCCCUCGCCCUUCAGACCCAGCCCUUUUUUCAAAAUGGUCACAGGGUUCAACUCAGCCUAACUGGACACAGGCCUGGUCCCUGCAGCAUCGAAGAAGCCAGGGGUAGCAUCUUUGGCCAAGUCACCCACUGACCCCCACGGCCUGGCAACUUUUGUGCUUCCCACCUGCAUGUCACCUCUGGGGGUCCCUUCCCUCCAAGAACGUUGCCAUCAGGUGGUCUUUCUGAUUUCCUCUGCUUCAGCAAAGGCCUUAUUUUUUACUCAAGAGCCUGGCUUCCUGAUCUGCACAAAAGAGACUCUCCAGAUGUGUCCUGGAAAAUCCCCCAAAAGUAGGGGGAAAGGUCCCAGUCAAAGCCAAAGCAAGGAAGAGGAAAAAGAGGAAGGAGGAAACUGUCAUGGGAUAAGAUUUUGUCACAUAUCUGUAAUUAAAGGUCCUCUUAUAUGUGCAUACACAAACACACGCACGUAUACGCAUAACACGGUUAACAAAUAUUAAGAUCUUAACAGUGGCCUUCUCUAGGAAAGAUGGGAUUAUGGGUGACUUUGAUUCGCCUCUAUCCUAGCUCUCCUCUUACUAGCUGUGUGAUUUAGAGCAGGUUAGCUAGCCUCUCAGUUACUCAGUUUCUUCACCUGUAAAAUGGGGCCAUCAUUCUUCUCAGUGUACUAUAUUGUGAAGAUUAAAUGAGAUUAUACAUAUCAAGAUCUCAGAACAGUGCCAGGCACACGUAGUAGAGGUUGAGCAUUCUUAAUCUGAAAACCAAAAAUCUGAAAUGCUCCAAAGUCCAAAACUUUUUGAAUGCCAACAUGACACCACAAGUAGGAAAUUCUACACCUGACCCCAUGUGAUGGGUCGCAGUCAAAAGACCAUCAAAACUUUGUUUUGUGAACAAAAUUAUUAAUAAUAUUGUAUAAAAUUACCUUCAGGCUACACAUGUAAGAUGUAUAUGAAACAUUAAUAAAUUUUGUGUUUAGACUUGGGCCCCAACCCCAAGAUAUGUCAUCAUGCAUAUGCAUAUAUUCCAAAAUAAAAAAAAAUCCAAAAUCCAAAACACUUCUGGUCCCAGGAUUUAGGAUAAGGAAUAUGCAACUUGUAACAGAAUCAACAAAUACAACAACUAUAAUUAUUUCUCCCUGUCUCCUUAGCCUUUUGCAAAGGGUAUGCAUUGCUUUG
This 1485-nucleotide long non-coding RNA is filed under the name Homo sapiens (human). RNAcentral describes it as "HSALNT0407327". Lineage: Eukaryota; Metazoa; Chordata; Mammalia; Primates; Hominidae. The record is from RNAcentral.